Mandrillus leucophaeus (drill) is the source of this 581-nucleotide long non-coding RNA. RefSeq lists it as uncharacterized. Lineage: Eukaryota; Metazoa; Chordata; Mammalia; Primates; Cercopithecidae. The record is from RefSeq and is a predicted model, not a curated record. The transcript has 3 exons.
GCAGGCGCUCGCACUCGGCGGCGGGCGGGCGCGCGGCUGCAGCUGGAGCUCCAGAGCCCGGAGUUGGAGUUGCCGGGAGUUUCCCCCCAACCCCUCCCUUUUCGCGCGCGGCAGCAGGAGCCGGCGCGGGAGCCGCGAGCGGCGGCUAACCAGCACCCGGGCCGGCUAAGCCUUGUCCGGAGCCCGGAGCCCCGCGCGGGGCAGCCCCCGGGGAGGAGCCUCGGGCGCUGGGACGCGUGCCGCGCACUGGCACGGCUGAGGCGCGAGCCAGGCUGCACGUUUCCUGUUUAGAAAGUUCUGCUCCUUCAUAAGGACCUUGAAGUACUAGGAGGAAAGGUGCUUUGUGUGUGGAGUUUUCCGUAAAGUGCAGUCCCAACUAAAAGGCUGCGUUAAAGAUUCACUGCCUGCUGUACUCGCUUGUUCUACAAUGAGUGCCAAAUCUGCUAUCAGCAAGGAAAUUUUUGCACCUCUUGAUGAAAGGAUGCUGGGAGCUGUCCAAGUCAAGAGGAGGACAAAGAAAAAGAUUCCUUUCUUGGCAACUGGAGGUCAAGGCGAAUAUUUAACUUAUAUCUGCCUGUCAG